UACGUAGGGUGCGAGCGUUGUCCGGAAUUAUUGGGCGUAAAGGGCUCGUAGGCGGUUUGUCGCGUCGGGAGUGAAAUCAUCUGGCUUAACUGGGUGCUUGCUUUCGAUACGGGCAGACUAGAGGUAUGCAGGGGAGAACGGAAUUCCUGGUGUAGCGGUGAAAUGCGCAAAUAUCAGGAGGAACACCGGUGGCGAAGGCGGUUCUCUGGGCAUGACCUGACGCUGAGGAGCGAAAGUGUGGGGAGCGAACAGG
This 253-nucleotide ribosomal RNA is filed under the name uncultured bacterium. RNAcentral describes it as "partial 16S ribosomal RNA". It matches the Rfam family "Bacterial small subunit ribosomal RNA", at positions 524 to 776 of the family's 1533-position model. The record is from RNAcentral.